This 215-nucleotide unclassified non-coding RNA is filed under the name Hevea brasiliensis (rubber tree). Lineage: Eukaryota; Viridiplantae; Streptophyta; Magnoliopsida; Malpighiales; Euphorbiaceae. The record is from RNAcentral.
UAAAAAUAAUCUUCCCAUGAAUGAAAAUUUCCUUUUUCCCCCUUAUUUUCAAGGCCUAUCCUAUAACCACUUCUUUCAUUUUCGUAAAAAGCAUGUUAAUCCACAAACAGAUGGCUUAACAGCACACUGAAAUGUAAAAUUUGUAAGCAUUUAACAUUCAAAUAUCAGCAGGAAUUUAGCAGCUUCUCUUACUUGUCUGACAAUCGUCAAGGCAG